This is a long non-coding RNA of Haliotis rubra (blacklip abalone), 261 nucleotides long. RefSeq lists it as uncharacterized. The transcript has 3 exons. Lineage: Eukaryota; Metazoa; Mollusca; Gastropoda; Lepetellida; Haliotidae. The record is from RefSeq and is a predicted model, not a curated record.
GUAACAUAAGGUGUGUGUGUGGCGGGCUGCAUGAAUGCGUUAGUAGGAAAUCGGGGACCUUACCACGAAGAAGCCUGUUUGUCAAACUGGUUUAGGUGUGCAAAACAAAAUGAGGAAUGAUGAACGUGACCAGAGGUGAUGAAGGUGUGUGUUCCAGAUGUACUCAAGUACGGAAGAUAUUCAUAGAGAAGGAGAACCGUGAACCAGUCAACAAACUUUUACCAGUUCACACCGAAUAUAAGAUUCUAACCGAGGGUGGCA